RNAcentral lists this long non-coding RNA (848 nucleotides) under Bemisia tabaci. RNAcentral describes it as "lncRNA ENSASIAIIG005439". The record is from RNAcentral. Lineage: Eukaryota; Metazoa; Arthropoda; Insecta; Hemiptera; Aleyrodidae.
AUGCAGACCAAAGUCCUCUUCGUUUUGCUCCUGGCGUGCACCGCCGCCGUAUCUGCCGACCAGAAGGUCCCUCUGCAGAAGAGAGCUGAUGGUGUAAUUUCCAACUUAUUGGAUUUCACGGGAUCUCUGACCAAAAACAUCGUCGACAAAGCGGUUUCAGGAGGUCACACGAGUAUAAACGCCAUCUCGGGGAUCAUCAACUACAGUCUGGACUCGGCGAAAAGCCUUACCAACACCCUGCUCCGCCGUGACCUAGGCAUGACCAUGACCAUGCCGCGCUACAACAUGCCCAACCCGAACUACCCGGCCUACGACACCUUGGGCGCCAUGCUCGCCAAAGCCCAGACCGACCUGAACAACUCUUGGGAUGCCGCCAACGCGCUGACCAGGGACAUGCGCCCCAACCUCUCCGACCGCGGACUGGCAGUCCUGAACAUGUACAUGAGAGAACUCCGCGCCUCUCGUAAUUCAUACAACAACGCCCUCGGCAACGCGGCCGACCUCUACGCCAGCCUGUCCGCCAACCCCGACCUCAACGACCAGGACUUAGUGAACCUCCUCCAGGACCAGUACGGUUUAGAGAUGAUCGACUACGCCCAGCAGGCCCGCCGUCUCGGUAACGUCAUCAAAAACAACGGAUUCGACUUGUAGACUACCACCCAGGAGCAACUCAGCUCAGCGCUCAGCACAGCCAGGUUUAACUCUAGCGGAUCAAUGCUCUGUGAAUUAAGUGAAAUAUAAUGCCCCUACUUACCUUACUCUAUUAGUUUGAUUAUUUCCAUCGCAUAGAGACAUCAAAAAUGUCGUCGCAUUUUUUGCUAGAGGGAUCUUCGUCGAAAUGAAUUAAA